RNAcentral lists this ribosomal RNA (1278 nucleotides) under Triticum aestivum (bread wheat). RNAcentral describes it as "partial small subunit ribosomal RNA". Lineage: Eukaryota; Viridiplantae; Streptophyta; Magnoliopsida; Poales; Poaceae. The record is from RNAcentral.
AUGGCUGGAUUCGCUGAUGCACUGAGGCCGGAUAAGUUUACCGGUGUGCACUUUAAGAGGUGGCAGGUGAAGACCACGCUCUGGCUUACUGCUCUGAAAGUUUUCCACGCUAGUGUUGGUGCUCCAGAGGGAAUGACCGACGAAGAUCGGAGAAAAUUCCAGGAAGCCAAUACUAUGUUUGUGGGAUGCAUUCUGAGUGUUCUUGCUGACCGUCUGUGUGAUGUGUACAUGCACAUAAACGACGGAAAAAUUCUGAGGGAUGCACUGAAUGCAAAAUUCGGUGCAUCAGAUGCAGGCAGUGAACUGUACAUCAUGGAGAGUUUUCAUGACUACAAGAUAGUGAAUAACCGUUCUGUGGUUGAACAAGCUCAUGAGAUACAGUGCAUUGUGAAGGAACUUGAACUCCUUAAAUGUGUUCUACCCGACAAAUUCGUGGCUGGGUGCAUGAUUGCAAAUUUGCCUCCUUCAUGGAGGAAUUUCGCCACAACUCUGAAGCAUAAGAGACAGGAGAUAUCAGUUGAAAAUCUGAUUGCAUCUCUUGAUGUUGAAGAAAAAGCUCGGGCUAAAGAUACCACUGAAAAAGGAGGUGAGGUUCAGCCUACUGCUAACAUGGUGCAGAGGUACCCACAGAACAAGAACAAAGGGAAGAACAAACCUGUUGUCAACAAGCCUACCAAGACUACUACCUUCAAGAAGAAGAAGUUCAACAAGGCUGAGCUAGAGUGCUACGUCGCAAGGGAUUCUUCCGUCCUAAUGGGGAAUGGGUCACAUGCUUCUGUUCGUGGCAUUGGCACGGUGGAUCUGAAGUUUACUUCGGGAAAGAUCGUGCAACUAAGGAACGUGCAGCAUGUCCCUACUAUGAACAAGAAUCUAGUUAGCGGCUCCCUUCUAUGUCGAGAUGGAUUUAAGGUAGUUUUAGAGUCCAAUAAAGUAAUCGUGUCAAGAUUUGGACAAUUUAUAGGAAAAGGCUAUGAGUGCGGAGGCUUGUUCCGCUUUUCUCUUUCAGAUUUUUGCAAUAAGUCAAUAAACCAAAUUUGUGCUAGUGUUAAUGAUGAUGCAAGUAUUUGGCACUCUCGUUUAUGUCAUAUUAAUUUUGGUUUAAUGUCUCGGCUAUCCAGCAUGAGUUUAAUUCUGAACUUCACAGUUGCCAAAGGUUCUAAGUGCCAUAGUUGUGUGCAAUCUAAGCAACCUCGAAAGCCUCAUAAGGCUGCCGAGGAGAGAAACUUGGCGCCUCUAGAACUCAUACAUUCUGAUCUUUGUGAGAUGAUGGUGUGUUGA